CUUUCUUCUACGGCCGUAUAACCACGAUUGACUUCCGUAAAAGUGGUGAGAAGAGAGUGUGAUGCGGAUAAGAAGGAAAGGGACUGUUGAAAGAGACUCUGAGAGCGAAGAGGCUCUUUUGCUUUAACCACAACACUCCAAUAGCUCAAGUGAAACUCGCCUGCAGUCGAUUUGUUCUCUUGAUUUGACGAUGAAGGUCUCUAAUCUGACGAUCCGUACUAUACCAUUUAAAAGAAACUUGAAAAACAAACAUAUUCAUAAGAAGCUUGGUUGAG
Molecule: long non-coding RNA, 275 nt
Filed under: Rosa chinensis
Lineage: Eukaryota; Viridiplantae; Streptophyta; Magnoliopsida; Rosales; Rosaceae
Description: sRNA RchiOBHm_Chr3g0490391
Source: RNAcentral